This 539-nucleotide ribosomal RNA is filed under the name Tubakia iowensis. RNAcentral describes it as "eukaryotic LSU rRNA". It matches the Rfam family "Eukaryotic large subunit ribosomal RNA", at positions 44 to 605 of the family's 3401-position model. The record is from RNAcentral. Lineage: Eukaryota; Fungi; Ascomycota; Sordariomycetes; Diaporthales; Tubakiaceae. RNAcentral also lists the same sequence under 1 other name.
CAAUAAGCGGAGGAAAAGAAACCAACAGGGAUUGCCCUAGUAACGGCGAGUGAAGCGGCAACAGCUCAAAUUUGAAAUCUGGCCUCGGCCCGAGUUGUAAUUUGCAGAGGAUGCUUUUGGUGCGGUGCCUUCCGAGUUCCCUGGAACGGGACGCCACAGAGGGUGAGAGCCCCGUAUGGUCGGACACCAAUCCUGUGUAAAGCUCCUUCGACGAGUCGAGUAGUUUGGGAAUGCUGCUCUAAAUGGGAGGUAAAUCUCUUCUAAAGCUAAAUACCGGCCAGAGACCGAUAGCGCACAAGUAGAGUGAUCGAAAGAUGAAAAGCACCUUGAAAAGGGGGUUAAACAGUACGUGAAAUUGUUGAAAGGGAAGCACUUGUGACCAGACUUGGGCCGGGCGGCUCAUCAGGGGUUCUCCCCUGUGCAUUCCGCCCGGUACAGGCCAGCAUCGGUUCUUACCGGGGGAUAAGAACGGCAGGAACGUGGCUCCCCCUCGGGGGAGUGUUAUAGCCUGCCGUACGAUACCCUGGCGGGGACCGAGG